AGUGAGGCUUUGGGACUGGCCCAGAGAGGUCGGCAACGACCACUCAGGGCCGGAAACUUAUUCAAACUCGGUCAUUUAGAGGAAGUAAAAGUCGUAACAAGGUCUCCGUUGGUGAACCAGCGGAGGGAUCAUUA
RNAcentral lists this ribosomal RNA (134 nucleotides) under Apiospora pterosperma. RNAcentral describes it as "Arthrinium pterospermum partial 18S ribosomal RNA". It matches the Rfam family "Eukaryotic small subunit ribosomal RNA", at positions 1700 to 1831 of the family's 1831-position model. The record is from RNAcentral. Lineage: Eukaryota; Fungi; Ascomycota; Sordariomycetes; Amphisphaeriales; Apiosporaceae.